GGGGAUGUAGCUCAGUCGGUUAGAGCAGCGAACUCAUAAUUCGUCGGUCCAGGGUUCAAGCCCCUGCAUCCCCA
This 74-nucleotide transfer RNA is filed under the name Aeriscardovia sp. RNAcentral describes it as "tRNA-Ile". It matches the Rfam family "tRNA". From Rfam's summary of the family: Transfer RNA (tRNA) molecules are approximately 80 nucleotides in length. Their secondary structure includes four short double-helical elements and three loops (D, anti-codon, and T loops). Lineage: Bacteria; Bacillati; Actinomycetota; Actinomycetes; Bifidobacteriales; Bifidobacteriaceae. The record is from RNAcentral.